Molecule: ribosomal RNA, 1433 nt
Filed under: uncultured bacterium
Lineage: Bacteria
Description: bacterial SSU rRNA
Rfam family: Bacterial small subunit ribosomal RNA
Source: RNAcentral
UGAUCAUGGCUCAGAACGUACGCUGGCGGCACGCCUAACACAUGCAAGUCGAACGAAGUAGCAAUACUUAGUGGCAGACGGGUGAGUAACAUGUAGGUAUCUGCCCUUUGGCCUGGAAUAACACGAGGAAACUUGUGCUAAUACCGGAUAAGUCUUUACGGAGAAAGCUUUAUGCACCAUUGGAUGAGCCUGCACUUGAUUAGUUUGUUGGUGGGGUAAUGGCCUACCAAGACUGUGAUCAAUAGCUGAUUUGAGAGGAUGAUCAGCCACAUUGGGACUGAGACACGGCCCAAACUCCUACGGGAGGCAGCAGUGGGGAAUCUUGCACAAUGGAGGAAACUCUGAUGAAGCGAUGCCGCGUGAGUGAAGAAGGCCUUUGGGUUGUAAAGCUCUUUCGUCGGGGAAGAAAAUGACUGUACCCGAAUAAGAAGGUCCGGCUAACUUCGUGCCAGCAGCCGCGGUAAUACGAAGGGACCUAGCGUAGUUCGGAAUUACUGGGCUUAAAGAGUUCGUAGGUGGUUGAAAAAGUUGGUGGUGAAAUCCCAGAGCUUAACUCUGGAACUGCCAUCAAAACUUUUCAGCUAGAGUAUGAUAGAGGAAAGCAGAAUUUCUAGUGUAGAGGUGAAAUUCGUAGAUAUUAGAAAGAAUACCAAUUGCGAAGGCAGCUUUCUGGAUCAUUACUGACACUGAGGAACGAAAGCAUGGGUAGCGAAGAGGAUUAGAUACCCUCGUAGUCCAUGCCGUAAACGAUGUGUGUUAGACGUUGGAAAUUUAUUUUCAGUGUCGCAGCGAAAGCGAUAAACACACCGCCUGGGGAGUACGACCGCAAGGUUAAAACUCAAAUGAAUUGACGGGGACCCGCACAAGUAGUGGAGCAUGUGGUUUAAUUCGAAGAUACGCGCAGAACCUUACCAACACUUGACAUGUUCGUCGCGACUUUAAGAGAUUAAAGUUUUCGGUUCGGCCGGACGAAACACAGGUGCUGCAUGGCUGUCGUCAGCUCGUGUCGUGAGAUGUUGGGUUAAGUCCCGCAACGAGCGCAACCCUCACUUUUAGUUGCCAUCAUUAAGUUGGGCACUCUGAAAGAACUGCCAGUGAUAAGCUGGAGGAAGGUGGGGAUGACGUCAAGUCCUCAUGGCCCUUACGUGUUGGGCUACACACGUGCUACAAUGGUAUCUACAACAGGAAGCAAGACUGCGAGGUCAAGCAAAUCCUUAAAAGAUACCUCAGUUCGGAUUGCACUCUGCAACUCGAGUGCAUGAAGCUGGAAUUACUAGUAAUCGUGGAUCAGCGUGCCACGGUGAAUGCGUUCCCGGGUCUUGUACACACCGCCCGUCACACCAUGGGAGUUGGUUCUACCUUAAGGCAAGGUUUUAAACCCUUGACCACGGUAUAGUCAGCGACUGGGGUGAAGUCGUAACAAGGUAGCCGUA